This 348-nucleotide ribosomal RNA is filed under the name uncultured fungus. Its description in RNAcentral is "SSU rRNA". It matches the Rfam family "Eukaryotic small subunit ribosomal RNA", at positions 20 to 370 of the family's 1831-position model. The record is from RNAcentral. Lineage: Eukaryota; Fungi.
GUAGUCAUAUGCUUGUCUCAAAGAUUAAGCCAUGCAUGUCUAAGUAUAAACUAAUUUAUACAGUGAAACUGCGAUGGCUCAUUAAAUCAGUUAUAGUUUAUUUGAUAUUCACUUACUACUUGGAUAACCGUGGUAAUUCUGCAGCUAAUACAUGCGUUAAAGCCCGACUUCUGGAAGGGCCGUACUUAUUAGAUUUAAGCCAACCCUAGCAAUAGGAUUAAGGUUGAUUCAUGAUAAUUUCUCGAAUCGUAUGACUUUGUGUCGACGAUGGUUCAUUCAAAUUUCCGCCCUAUCAACUUUCGAUUGUAGUGUAUUGGACUACAAUGGUUUCAACGGGUAACGGGGAAU